Molecule: ribosomal RNA, 253 nt
Filed under: uncultured prokaryote
Description: partial 16S ribosomal RNA
Rfam family: Bacterial small subunit ribosomal RNA
Source: RNAcentral
GACAGAGGUGCCAAGCGUUAGGCGGAAUUACUGGGCGUAAAGCGUGCGCAGGCGGCUUUGCAAGACAGAUGUGAAAUCCCCGGGCUUAACCUGGGAACUGCAUUUGUGACUGCAUGGCUGGAGUGCGGCAGAGGGGGAUGGAAUUCCGCGUGUAGCAGUGAAAUGCGUAGAUAUGCGGAGGAACACCGAUGGCGAAGGCAAUCCCCUGGGCCUGCACUGACGCUCAUGCACGAAAGCGCGGGGAGCAAACAGG